This 468-nucleotide ribosomal RNA is filed under the name uncultured bacterium. RNAcentral describes it as "bacterial SSU rRNA". It matches the Rfam family "Bacterial small subunit ribosomal RNA", at positions 328 to 793 of the family's 1533-position model. The record is from RNAcentral.
UGGCCAGACUCCUACGGGAGGCAGCAGUGAGGAAUAUUGGUCAAUGGGCGGGAGCCUGAACCAGCCAAGUCGCGUGAGGGAAGACGGUCCUACGGAUUGUAAACCUCUUUUGCCGGGGAGCAACGGGGUCCUUGCGAGGGCCCGAUGAGAGUACCCGGAGAAAAAGCAUCGGCUAACUCCGUGCCAGCAGCCGCGGUAAUACGGAGGAUGCGAGCGUUAUCCGGAUUUAUUGGGUUUAAAGGGUGCGUAGGCGGGCUGUUAAGUCAGCGGUCAAAUGUCGGGGCUCAACCCCGGCCUGCCGUUGAAACUGGCGGCCUCGAGUGGGCGAGAAGUAUGCGGAAUGCGUGGUGUAGCGGUGAAAUGCAUAGAUAUUACACAGAACACCGAUUGCGAAGGCAGCUUGCUAGGCCGGAUCUGACACUGAGGCACGAAAGCGUGGGGAUCGAACAGGAUUAGAUACCCCGGUAA